UACGGAGGGUGCAAGCGUUGCUCGGAAUUAUUGGGCGUAAAGGGUAGGUAGGUGGUCUCAUUUGUCUGGGGUGAAAGCCUUGAGCUUAACUCAAGAAGUGCCCCAGAAACGGUGAGACUAGAGUCUUGGAGAGGGUCGUGGAAUUCCCGGUGUAGCGGUGAAAUGCGUAGAGAUCGGGAGGAACACCUGUGGCGAAGGCGGCUUUCUGGGCCUUACCUGACGCUGAGACGCGAAAGCGUGGGGAGCGAACCGG
RNAcentral lists this ribosomal RNA (253 nucleotides) under uncultured bacterium. Its description in RNAcentral is "partial 16S ribosomal RNA". It matches the Rfam family "Bacterial small subunit ribosomal RNA", at positions 524 to 776 of the family's 1533-position model. The record is from RNAcentral.